Long non-coding RNA from Acinonyx jubatus (cheetah), 1702 nucleotides. RefSeq lists it as uncharacterized. The record is from RefSeq and is a predicted model, not a curated record. The transcript has 4 exons. NCBI's taxonomy places the organism in Eukaryota, Metazoa, Chordata, Mammalia, Carnivora, Felidae.
AGUAUUUCUGCCAGUGAUGUAUGAGGGUUCCAAUUAAUUGUUCCACAUCCUCUCCGAGAUCUGAUGGUGUCAGGUUUUACAUUAAGCCCUUCUGGUAGACUGCCUAAUGAAGCAGAAGGUCACGAGAAAGUCAUUUUCCUUCUCUGACUUGCGUCUCCCUGGAGAACUACUGCCGGUAGCUACCGGGACCUCCUUCCCUAGGACUGGCACUGAGUGUCCCUGGAUCCAGCCCCGAAUGAGGAUCGAGUUCUGUUAUUAUCUCCACGUUCUGGAGGAGGAAACUGAGGCACAGACACUGGCCCGAGAUCAGACAGUGGUGUGAGCACCCGUCCUCAACUACUAAGCUCUGCUGAGAUGGAAGGGCGUGGCCACCUAUUGGACAAGCGCCUCGAGGAAGGAGAAAUCAAGGACAACCAAGAGGAUGAUGGGAACGUUACCCUGAACCUGAAUGUGCAGAUGUGCUGGUUUCUACGUUCUUCUGCUGCUAACUCCCCCCUUAUUAGUUGUGAGGUCUUUUUUUUUUUAAUUUUUUUUUUAACGUUUAUUUAUUUUUGAGACAGAGAGAGACAGAGCAUGAAUGGGGGAGGGUCAGAGAGAGGGAGACACAGAAUCUGAAACAGGCUCCAAGCUCCGAAUUGUCAGCAGAGAGCCGGACGCGGGGCUUGAACUCACGGACCGCGAGAUCGUGACCUGAGCCGAAGUCGGCCGCCCAACCGACUGAGCCACCCAGGAGCCCCUGUGAGGUCUUUAAAGGCGGGUAUCCUGAAAUCACCCACGGCUUCCAAAAGGGUUUCAUCUACUCUGGGUGGGAGCAGUCUUAGGGAUGGAGAGAGGACCGUUCAGACCAGGUGCAUCUUGGAGCUGGUGAACGUCAGUGGAAGCUUCAUCUUCACAGACAUCUGCCUUCUAGAAAACAGAGUUGUGGUCAAUCGCUUUGCCAAUGAGUCAAGAAACUGUUUUCUUAACCAGGUCAGUAGAAUAGCAUAAAAGGCCUUAAGUCACAUCAAGUCUCCUUAGAGAUGAUUUUUGAACUUGCAGAACAUGCAUCUAUAAAUUGGCUUGGACACAGAUUUCACUGAAGGGAGAAAAAGUACAAAAGACUAUGAUAGACCCAAGGAUUAUUGUCUUGGCUUCUCUAGAACAGCUGUCUGGCAAAUGUUACACCACGUCUGAGAUUAUUUUAGAAACUUUGUCUUGGAGAAGAACACGUAGGGAGAAUACCAGACGGAUUUGCUCCUUUUUUCCCCCUCCCCAUCACAGAAUAAGAAUUUUAAGGACAUUUGUACUUUCAAUGAGAUCAUCCUGGUGAUGGUCUUAUUUUUUGAAACUUAAAUCAUGUCACAUCUAGUAAAUUUAUAGCCAAGUGUGGUUACAGCAGUGAGUUGAUCCCAAUAUAGCUAUUUAGGUCUCCCUCCUCCUUUUCCUUUUCUUUAUUAUCAUGAUAAAUAGAAUAUUCUAAAGAUAUUUUGUUUCACCAAGUAUCAAUUGAAGCAUUCUAAAUGAAAAAUGUAUUUAGUGGUGAGAUGAUCAAUGAUACCUACUUUCUUCAGGGCCACCUGACUGGCUCUGUCGGUAGAGCAUGGAACUCUUGACCUUGGGAUUGUAAGUUCGAGCCCCAUGUUGGGUGUAGAGAUGACUUAAAAAUAAAAUCUUAAAAACAAGCGAUAUCUACUUUCUUCAGUUUCCUUUCAGUCCUUAUUUU